CCUACGGGAGGCANCAGUGGGGAAUUUUGGACAAGGGGGGCAACCCUAUCCAGCCAUGCCGCGUGAGGAAGAAGGCCUUCGGGUUGUAAAGCUCUUUCGGCCGGNAAGAAAUNGCUCUCCUAAUA
Molecule: ribosomal RNA, 125 nt
Filed under: uncultured Rhodocyclaceae bacterium
Lineage: Bacteria; Pseudomonadati; Pseudomonadota; Betaproteobacteria; Rhodocyclales; Rhodocyclaceae
Description: partial 16S ribosomal RNA
Rfam family: Bacterial small subunit ribosomal RNA
Source: RNAcentral